This 440-nucleotide ribosomal RNA is filed under the name uncultured bacterium. RNAcentral describes it as "bacterial SSU rRNA". It matches the Rfam family "Bacterial small subunit ribosomal RNA", at positions 958 to 1397 of the family's 1533-position model. The record is from RNAcentral.
AACGCGAAGAACCUUACCUGGGCUCGAACGGCUUUGGAUCGACGGUGGAAACACUGUUUUCCCGCAAGGGACCGGAGUCGAGGUGCUGCAUGGCUGUCGUCAGCUCGUGUCGUGAGAUGUUGGGUUAAGUCCCGCAACGAGCGCAACCCUUGUCCUGUGUUGCCAUCAUUCAGUUGGGAACUCGCAGGAGACCGCCAGGGAUAACCUGGAGGAAGGUGGGGAUGACGUCAAGUCCUCAUGGCCUUUAUGUCCAGGGCUACACACGUGCUACAAUGGACGGUACAAAGGGCUGCCAACCCGCAAGGGGGAGCCAAUCCCAAAAAACCGUUCUCAGUUCGGAUUGCAGGCUGCAACUCGCCUGCAUGAAGCUGGAAUCGCUAGUAAUGGCGGAUCAGAACGCCGCCGUGAAUACGUUCCCGGGCCUUGUACACACCGCAUAC